GAUGAAGAACGCAGCGAAAUGCGAUAAGUAAUGUGAAUUGCAGAAUUCAGUGAAUCAUCGAAUCUUUGAACGCACAUUGCGCCCGCUAGUAUUCUGGCGGGCAUGCCUGUUCGAGCGUCAUUUCAACCAUCAAGCCCUAGGCUUGCGUUGGAGCCCUGCGGCUGCCGCAGGCUCCCAAAUCCAGUGGCGGGCUCGUCGUCGUACCGAGUGCAGUAAACAUCCUCGCUCAGGGAACGUGACGGGUUCUUGCCGUGAAACCCCCCACAUAUCAAGGUUGACCUCGGAUCAGGUAGGAAUACCCGCUGAACUUAAGCAUAUCAAUAAGCGGAGGA
Molecule: unclassified non-coding RNA, 332 nt
Filed under: soil metagenome
Description: partial contains 5.8S ribosomal RNA, internal transcribed spacer 2, and large subunit ribosomal RNA
Rfam family: 5.8S ribosomal RNA (bases 1-120)
Source: RNAcentral